Molecule: regulatory RNA element, 106 nt
Organism: Bifidobacterium dentium Bd1
Lineage: Bacteria; Bacillati; Actinomycetota; Actinomycetes; Bifidobacteriales; Bifidobacteriaceae
Rfam family: TPP riboswitch aptamer (THI element)
About the family: Vitamin B(1) in its active form thiamin pyrophosphate (TPP) is an essential coenzyme that is synthesised by coupling of pyrimidine and thiazole moieties in bacteria.
Source: Rfam
GGCGUAAUGCAGGGGAACCCGUACAACCGGGUUGAGAUAGGCGUAAGGCCUGACCCUUUGAACCUGAUGGUUAAUACCAGCGUAGGGAGGCAUAUCUUUGAGCGAU